Molecule: long non-coding RNA, 463 nt
Organism: Hypomesus transpacificus
Lineage: Eukaryota; Metazoa; Chordata; Actinopteri; Osmeriformes; Osmeridae
Exons: 4
Source: RefSeq, a predicted model, not a curated record
GAACCCCAUUCAUUUUCAGUGUCUCCGAAGCAAGUUUGCUGCAUCAAGGUAUUGUCAGGCUGGUGGAGAGAUGACCAGGUUGAUGUUGCCUUGACACGGCUGGAGUGAUGGUGAGGCUAGUGGAGUGAUGCAGCUGGUGGAGCAAAGGAGAGGCUGGUGGUGCUUGCCAUUCCUGUAAGCGGCGGAGUGAUGACGGAGCUGGUUAGUGGGGCUAUUAAUGAUGAAGCAGAUAUGUUGACCUUAGUCCUGGGGAUCUACAUACCUAUAGAAGCUGAAGUCAAGGUAGGUUGUGGGACAUUUGUUGGCGCAAAAGUCAGGCCGAGCACCUCCAUGGCAACGAUAAAAGUGUUUGGUGGCCUGGUUGUUGUAGGCCUAGAUGUUGCUUGGCUUUGCUGGUUCUUCUUUGAUCUUUUUGUUUGGCUUUUGCUUCCAAGAUGACCGUCUUUUAAGAGCCCCUUUUUCC